Syngnathus acus (greater pipefish) is the source of this 211-nucleotide long non-coding RNA. RefSeq lists it as uncharacterized. The record is from RefSeq and is a predicted model, not a curated record. Lineage: Eukaryota; Metazoa; Chordata; Actinopteri; Syngnathiformes; Syngnathidae. The transcript has 2 exons.
CUCAUUUCAGGAUGUUGAAGCUGUCUUUUGAACCAUGUUCUCUUCUUAUAGGAUUCUCCUCCUACUCCCUUAAUCCUAACUCGAAAUGCUACGCUUUGAACCUAACCCUUCAACGGCUGCCUGACCUACGAACCCGACUGUCUUCGUCAAACUUUGCUGACUGCUCGGGAGUAAAAUGAUUUUUCCAAUCGCCGACUUUGCCUGUUGAUCA